CGCGUAGGCGGGUUUGUAAGUCAGAGGUGAAAUCCUGCAGCUUAACUGCAGAACUGCCUUUGAAACUACAAAUCUUGAGUUUGGAAGAGAGAGACGGAAUUCCAGGUGUAGUGGUGAAAUACGUAGAUAUCUGGAAGAACACCAGUGGCGAAGGCGGUCUCUUGGUCCAUAACUGACGCUGAGGCGCGAAAGCGUGGGGAGCAAACA
RNAcentral lists this ribosomal RNA (207 nucleotides) under uncultured bacterium. RNAcentral's name for it is "partial 16S ribosomal RNA". It matches the Rfam family "Bacterial small subunit ribosomal RNA", at positions 568 to 774 of the family's 1533-position model. The record is from RNAcentral.